RNAcentral lists this non-coding RNA (30 nucleotides) under Mus musculus (house mouse). Lineage: Eukaryota; Metazoa; Chordata; Mammalia; Rodentia; Muridae. The record is from RNAcentral.
UAGACUUUACGUAGAAUAUUGAAUGUAGGU